GACGAACGCUGGCGGCGUGCUUAACACAUGCAAGUCGAACGGAAAGGCCCUGCUUUUGCGGGGUGCUCGAGUGGGGAACGGGUGUGUAACACGUGAGUAACCUGUCCUUGACUUUGGGAUAUCUUCAGGGAACAGGGGCUAAUACCGGAGAGGAGAUACUGCUGCAUGGUGGGGGUUGGAAAGUUUCGGCGGUUGGGGAUGGACUCGCGGCUUACCAGCUUGUUGGUGGGGUAGUGGCUUACCAAGUCUUUGACGGGUAGCCGGCCUGAGAGGGUGACCGGGGACAAGGGGACUAAGAGACGGCCCAGACUGCUACGUGAGGCAGCAGGCGGAAACAUUGCACAAUGAGCCGAAGCCUGAUGCAGCAACGCCGCGAGCGGGAUGACCGCCUUCGGGUGAUAAACCGCUGUCGCCGGUGACGAAGCGUGAGUGACGGUAAUGGGUAAAGAAGCACCGGCUAACUACGUG
RNAcentral lists this ribosomal RNA (468 nucleotides) under uncultured bacterium. Its description in RNAcentral is "partial 16S ribosomal RNA". It matches the Rfam family "Bacterial small subunit ribosomal RNA", at positions 28 to 507 of the family's 1533-position model. The record is from RNAcentral.